AGUGAACGCUGGCGGUAGGCCUAACACAUGCAAGUCGAACGGCAGCACAGUAAGAGCUUGCUCUUACGGGUGGCGAGUGGCGGACGGGUGAGGAAUACAUCGGAAUCUACUUUUUCGUGGGGGAUAACGUAGGGAAACUUACGCUAAUACCGCAUACGACCUACGGGUGAAAGCAGGGGAUCUUCGGACCUUGCGCGAUUGAAUGAGCCGAUGUCGGAUUAGCUAGUUGGCGGGGUAAAGGCCCACCAAGGCGACGAUCCGUAGCUGGUCUGAGAGGAUGAUCAGCCACACUGGAACUGAGACACGGUCCAGACUCCUGCGGGAGGCAGCAGUGGGGAAUAUUGGACAAUGGGCGCAAGCCUGAUCCAGCCAUACCGCGUGGGUGGAGAAGGCCUUCGGGUUGUAAAGCCCUUUUGUUGGGAAAGAAAAGCAGCAGGUUAAUACCCCGCUGUUCUGACGGUACCCAAAGAAUAAGCACCGGCUAACUUCGUG
Molecule: ribosomal RNA, 492 nt
Filed under: uncultured bacterium
Lineage: Bacteria
Description: partial 16S ribosomal RNA
Rfam family: Bacterial small subunit ribosomal RNA
Source: RNAcentral